GACGAACGCUGGCGGCGUGCCUAAUACAUGCAAGUCGAACGCUGAAGGAGGAGCUUGCUCUUCUGGAUGAGUUGCGAACGGGUGAGUAACGCGUAGGUAACCUGCCUGGUAGUGGGGGAUAACUAUUGGAAACGAUAGCUAAUACCGCAUAAUAACAGUUGUUGCAUGACAACUGUUUGAAAGGUGCAAUUGCAUCACUACCAGAUGGACCUGCGUUGUAUUAGCUAGUUGGUGGGGUAACGGCUCACCAAGGCGACGAUACAUAGCCGACCUGAGAGGGUGAUCGGCCACACUGGGACUGAGACACGGCCCAGACUCCUACGGGAGGCAGCAGUAGGGAAUCUUCGGCAAUGGACGAAAGUCUGACCGAGCAACGCCGCGUGAGUGAAGAAGGUUUUCGGAUCGUAAAGCUCUGUUGUAAGAGAAGAACGAGUGUGAGAGUGGAAAGUUCACACUGUGACGGUAUCUUACCAGAAAGAGACGGCUAACUACGUG
Molecule: ribosomal RNA, 495 nt
Filed under: uncultured bacterium
Lineage: Bacteria
Description: partial 16S ribosomal RNA
Rfam family: Bacterial small subunit ribosomal RNA
Source: RNAcentral